Molecule: ribosomal RNA, 301 nt
Filed under: uncultured bacterium
Lineage: Bacteria
Description: partial 16S ribosomal RNA
Rfam family: Bacterial small subunit ribosomal RNA
Source: RNAcentral
CAGCAGCCGCGGUAAUACAGAGGGUGCGAGCGUUAAUCGGAUUUACUGGGCGUAAAGCGUGCGUAGGCGGCUUCUUAAGUCGGAUGUGAAAUCCCCGGGCUUAACCUGGGAACUGCAUUUGUGACUGGCGAGCUAGAGUAUGGCAGAGGGGGGUAGAAUUCCACGUGUAGCAGUGAAAUGCGUAGAGAUGUGGAGGAAUACCGAUGGCGAAGGCAGCCCCCUGGGCCAAUACUGACGCUCAUGCACGAAAGCGUGGGGAGCAAACAGGAUUAGAUACCCCAGUAGUCCCUGUCUCUUAUAC